AAGCUGGGUGGGGACUAGUCCCUGGGCUGCAGGCGCGGCUGCUACACAUACACACAGCGGCUGCCGCUCCGUGGGCAGCUCCUACUACUGCUGGGCUGGGCUGGCCUGCGCGGGGCGGGCUGCGCCGGAGCUCGCCUGCACACAGCCGCGCGGAGGGAGGAGAAAAGACACUCUUCUCAGGCCAGCCUCGGGAGCCAAGCCAGAUCUGCCAGUGAGCCUCCGGCUUUGGAAACUGAAGAGUGUGUCUGAAAAACCCACCCAGCAUUCCAAUGGCCAGCAACAACACCGCCAGCAUAGCACAAGCCAGGAAACUGGUAGAACAGCUGAAGAUGGAAGCCAACAUCGAUAGGAUAAAGGUGUCCAAGGCAGCUGCAGAUUUGAUGGCUUACUGUGAAGCGCAUGCCAAGGAAGAUCCCCUCCUGACGCCUGUUCCGGCUUCAGAGAACCCAUUUAGGGAGAAGAAGUUUUUCUGUGCUAUCCUUUAAGUCUUCGAGUGGGGCCUGAGGAGCCUCGGGGCUCCAGGGACACUGAUGUAGAGUUUUUAGCAAAGUGGGCGCCUUUCUAGUCCACAGCAUUUAAAGAGAGAGAGGAGAACCAUCCUGGAAACUCCAGGCUAUGCAUGUUUAAAGAAGUUGAUCCACACCCCGAGUUAAGAGAUCUGAUGUCUGCAGAGCUGCCUGGAGGAGGGGAAUGUGUAAAGAUAAAAUCGGUGUCAUUUCUUUCCCGCUCCCUCCCCAAACCUUAUGUUCCUGCUUCAUAUUUAAAAAAAAUAAAAAUUUAAACAGACAGCUGUACUGAGCUAAGAUAUGUAUGACCUUGGAAUGAAUAUUGCCUUUAGAAUACCCUCUGACAAGCUGAGUCGUCCAGUGUCGCCGCAGUUCGGUGUAAUGGCAUUGAUGUUUCGUCGUUGUGCCUUUUUCUUUUUCCCUUCUCUCCUGCCCCUCCUUCCAUCCCCCACCCCCAUUAGAGUAGUGAAGGGAUAAGACUGGACUUGUCUGUAAAACUGAACUCCAAGGAUGAUCACCCAAAGGGUUUAGGGAGAUGUUCCCUGUGGUUUAUCCUCAUUGUAAUAAUAACAGCAAAUGCCGGUUGUCUGUGUUCUUUUAUCACUAUUCCUAACAUUUGUACAUGAUAGCUUUGAUUCUGCAAGUAAAAGUAAAUCCUGUGUUGUGACUGGUGCUUUCAUAUAUUUGUGACAGUUUUUGAGUAAUACUGCAUGAAAAUGUCCCUAUGUUACAUCCAUUCAGAAGUUUCGUUGUUUUACUAUAAAGUUUGGAAAAGGAAUGAGAGACAUGAAGCUGGGGAGGAAAACACUCAGUAUCUUGGAAAUUGAGAUUACUUCAGAGCCUUAGCCUUGCCUAAAAUACCUCCGAGUUAACAGUUGCGUCAAUGGUGGCCUCCUCGAUGUAUUUUCCAGCAUCCAAAGCAUUUUGAUUUUAUUCAGGACCCAGGGCAGCCCAGGUAACGCCAAGCAGCAGAGGCAAGGAUUCACCCUUAGUUGGGAAAUGCUUUUGUCACAGAGUAAGAGCAAAUUCCUUUUCCCUGAAUCACAGAAAUUAUAGACUGAGGGAAGGCUUUGUGUGCUCUUCUUAGCGAGAAAGAAACGUGGCCCUCAUUCGUUGAAGUAGCAGGAGAAAUAUCCAAACGACUCCAGACUAGCGCUACUCUCAGUAUCCUGGCUAUUCACCCGCCAGGGAGAAGGGGGCAGGUGCCGCCCUGCAGCAGCUCCACCACGAAGUGUUCUUGUUUUGUUUUUGCCCCUGAGAUGGCCUUUGGUUUUCACUCAACAAAAUUUUUAGUAGAACCUUCGCUUUGUUUUUCUCCGCUUUAUUAGAGUCGCUCUGUCUUUAUUUACAACGUCCUUGCAGCUUGAGCUCUCUCUUCCCAAGAGAUGAUGUUGACAGUGACUUUUCUUUGUGGCUCUUGCCUCCACCGGUAAUGGGAGGCCCUGGAAGUCCUUCUCACUUUUUUCUGUGUCAUUCCUAGGCAAAUGAGGGCUCUUUUACAGCUCCUUGUUUGCUUCGAAAUCCCAAAAGUCCAUUUCUGAAUUAAUUUUAUUCUCUUUCCAUUCUCUUCCUCCCAUUUAAAAAAAAAAAAAAAGGUGGAAAGGAAGGGAAAAAGGCUUAAUAUGCCAAGGACAGAUUUUGAAACAGACUUGAUUAAUAUUUUCCUUAGCUCCUUGUAUGAGCAUAAUGGUAAAAGAAUCAAUACAUCCAAUUAGAACUCAUGCCUAGGGAGCUAGGGAAGAGAAUACUGAGACACUGUGAAAUGUAUGAAUGCACUUCUGUAACCAGAUACUUCUAUUCAAACCUUGGGAUUCUGUUAUAGUCAUGGGACACUGAUGAAGAUUUAGAGGGGAAAAAACCUUGGCAGAGUAUUAAACUACGGUAUUGUACCAUUGGCUUAGUAAUACUGUGGAAUCAGUUAAAACCCAACCACGUUUUUCAAAUGAGCCAAAAUAGGAAUUGAGUAUGUGGUCACAUAAAAACAACUGUGAAUAAAGCACCCUUUGGUGGUGAUGAAGGCAUUAUUAUAAGACCCUGAUGCUUUUCAUAAUCCAUAAUCCAUGUAUUUUUCUCAGAAGGCCUCUUUGUAUUUUCAUGUAAAUCUAGAUGUUUGGAGCAAUUAAAAUGGCAUUAAAACUUUUAGGAAUACAACUCUGUAAUUAAAAGUUAAGGAAGUUCCAAACUGCAUUUGACCUUGUUUAUCAAAGGAGAAAGAAGGCAGAAAAUACACAGCCAUCAGAUACUAAGUUUAAGAAAAAUAUGUUAGCUUUUUCCUAAUUUCAUGUCCUACUUUAUGGAAUUAUAAUGCCAGAGUUUUUAUAUGAGUUUUGACUUACUGGUAGUUUUACUUGUUAAGAGGGAAAUAACUUUUUGAUGACUUAUGCCUCUAAAGAGUUUUAAUUCUUUUAGAAAUUUUACAAUCAUUUUCACCAGCAUAAUUUUAUCUUAAAGGGUAACCAAUAGGAAAACUUAGCUCAAUCAUUCAAGGCCCUAAUUUAUGUAUGUAAUAUAUUGGAUAGUAAUGAAAAUCUGCCAUGGAACUCAUUAAACAGUAGUAAUAACCCUUGUAUUUAUAAUGCAAACUCUGUUAAGAAAAAAACAGUCUUCAUCAUCCUCAAUAUUAAAUCUGCUUUCUUUUUUUUUCUUUCAAUUUUAAACCAAGUGCUAUUUAAUUUAAGCCAGAGGUUGCGAAUCAGUACUUUGAACUGAGGCUAAUUUUGCUAAUAAUAUUUGAAAGAGAUUGCUUACCAAGGAAAAAUUAAAAAUUGUUUCUCCAUACUCUCCUAUUCUCAAAAGGAAUUUUGAGAAACCAAGCAUGCUGUCUUAGGGGAUUUUGUACUUUUUUUUUUUAAUAUUUGCUUCUAGCUGCUCCUGGCAAUGGUGAAUUGUUACAUAUACAUUAAUGUUUUCCCAGACCGAGAAUUGUUCCCAUUUUUCCUAUUUAAGAUCUAUGGAGUGUGUCUUUCAAAGAGAAAGGAAUACAGAAAUAUUAAAGCAGAAGAACCUGAAUGUGAUGUGUACAUUUUCAUCCCAUGUGGACAGUGUAUUUGUUUUAAUAAAUGGAAUUUUCAGAUUCA
Molecule: long non-coding RNA, 3583 nt
Organism: Camelus dromedarius (Arabian camel)
Lineage: Eukaryota; Metazoa; Chordata; Mammalia; Artiodactyla; Camelidae
Gene: GNG2
Product: G protein subunit gamma 2
Exons: 4
Source: RefSeq, a predicted model, not a curated record